Molecule: ribosomal RNA, 256 nt
Filed under: uncultured bacterium
Lineage: Bacteria
Description: partial small subunit ribosomal RNA
Rfam family: Bacterial small subunit ribosomal RNA
Source: RNAcentral
AGGACGAACGCUGGCGGCGUGCUUAACACAUGCAAGUCGAGCGGUAAGGCCUUUCGGGGUACACGAGCGGCGAACGGGUGAGUAACACGUGGGUGACCUGCCCCCUACUCUGGGAUAAGCCUGGGAAACUGGGUCUAAUACCGGAUAUGACCUGAGGUUGCAUGACUUUGGGUGGAAAGCGUUAGUGGUGGGGGAUGGGCCCGCGGCCUAUCAGCUUGUUGGUGGGGUGAUGGCCUACCAAGGCUUCGACGGGUAG